Molecule: non-coding RNA, 105 nt
Organism: Gossypium raimondii (Peruvian cotton)
Lineage: Eukaryota; Viridiplantae; Streptophyta; Magnoliopsida; Malvales; Malvaceae
Source: Rfam
AGUCUAUGGUGUGGGCACUUCUUUAGCAUUAACUUGAAAUGCUCUCAUGCCUCAUAUAUAUACUCACCUUCGUAUUUUUGAAAUUUGUGAUUUCUCGCCUUAACU